AUUUGAUAGAUUGGAUGACACUCGAUGAAACACAGCGUUGGCGGUAGAUUUGAAAACCCUCCCUCCAUUUUCUCCCGAAUUGUUUAAUGUUGUUUUGUUAUCCCCAAAAACACACUACCAAUUUAACAUGUACGUGUCGAAACGAUUCGCAUGUUUCUCUGAUAGAAACCACAACAAACCCCAAUCGUUAGCUAGGGUUCCCACCAUUCUCAUUUUCUGUUUGUUUGUUACUACGAAUAUUUAAUCGAAAAACAAAAAGAACUCCAUUCUCUCAAUUCGAACUUUCUAUGGCGGGCGAAGACAACACCACAGUCACAGAUACAGGUGAAUAUUUUCCCGAUCGAAAAUCUAUUGCUACUCUCGAUGUUGGCGCCGAAACGGUGCCGUUCAAGGGUGAUGACGUGGCAGAAACGGUGUCGUUGAAAGACGAUGAAGGUUUAGUUAAGAGCGAUGACGUGGCAGAAAAAGAAGAUUCCGUUCCUGAUCUUGAAGAACAAGCUGCGAACGUUGAAGCCGAAACGGCGUCGUUAAAGAACGAUGGAGUUUUGGUUGAAGGUGAUGACGUGGCAGCCGAUGAUUCUUCCGUUAAAGUUGCUGAAGCGAUAAAAACGUACGGCAGAAAGAUUAAUAAGCACGGAAGAAAGAGUGAUACAGAAAUUGCGAGGAUGAAGAUAGAAGAAGAAGCGUUAGGGAAAACGUUAGAGAACGGUGAAAAUAAAGAAACCGGUGAAGGUGAUGACGUGGCAAAUGGAGGCGAUUCAUCUGUUAAAGUUAACGCUACUAAGGGAAAGAAACGAGGCAGGAAGAGUAAAACGGAAAAGGAAGCCCAAGCGGCUGAAGGUGCUAAGGUGGCAGUUGGCGGUGGUUCUUCUUCUGUUGGUGUGAGGAAGAGUGAACGUCCGCGGAAGAUUAGAGUGAUUGAGAGUGACGUAUGCAUGUCAAUGGUGGAAGAGGAAGUUGAAAAGAAAGAGAAGAAGAAACGUGGUAGGAAAAAAUUGAAUAAUGUUACUUCUGAUGAAAAUGAAGUUGCAAAAGAGGGUGAAAUUGAAAGGAUUGUUAAGAAGGAGAAGAAGAAACCUGGUAGGAAAAAAAAGAAAGUUUCUGGUUCUGAAGAAAAUGAAGCUGGAGAAGAGGGUGAAAAUGGUAGUUUUGUGAAGGAAGAGAAGAAUAAAUCUGGUGGUAGGAAAAGAAAGAUUGCUGAGAAUGAACUUGUAUGUGAAAAUAAGUCAGAGAGUGAUCUUUUGAAGGAAGAGAAUCAGGACUGUGCUGAAGCUGAAAUGCCUUUGUCUGAUAUUAAAGGUUAUUGUUUAAGGAAUGCUGCGAAAAAGAAUAUUGAAAGCAGUGAAAAGAAGGUGCAGAAGGUGCGGAAGGUGUCAAAAUUCAACGAGAGAAUUAAGUGGAUUGAAGAGGAGUCCUUAAUGUGUCAUCAAUGUCAGAGAAAUGAUAAGGGCAGGGUUGUUAGAUGCAAAAAAUGCAAAAGGAAGAGAUAUUGCGUAUUCUGUAUAAACAAUUGGUAUCCUUACUUGGAAGAAGAUCAUAUUGCUGAGGCAUGUCCUGUGUGCUGUGGUAAUUGCAAUUGCAAAGCAUGCUUGCGAUCAACUGCACUUAUUAAUGAAAUUAAAAAAAAUGCCAAAACCAACAGUGAUCACGAGGUUGAGCACUUUGAGUAUAUGCUGAAAGAACUUCUUCCGUAUUUAAGACGCUUGGAUGAAGAACAAUUGGCUGAGAAGGAGAUAGAAGCUAAGAGACAGGGGAUCUCACUCUCUGAGGUAAAAAUAAGAUUAGCAGAUUAUCCUAAGAAGGAGCGUGUGUACUGUGACAACUGCAAAACGUCCAUAUUUGACUUCCACCGAAGCUGUACAAAAUGCGCUUUUGACCUUUGCUUAUUCUGUUGCUGUGAGCUUCGUGGUGGGCAGCUUCUAGGUGGUGCAGAUCCAAUUGAGUUCCAGUUUAUCAACCAAGGGCAAGAUUAUCUGCAUGGUGAAAUUGCAAAGAGAACGGCCCGAAAUAGUGAAUAUCAUGCUGCUGUCCAGCCUGAGAUUUGCGAGUGGUCAAAAUCUGGCUGGCAUGCAGAUUGUGAUGGUAACAUUCCUUGUCCAAAAGCCAAUAAUGAAUGUGGUCAUGGUUUCCUUGAACUGAGAAGCAUACUUCCACCUAAUUGCAUCUCUGAGUUAGUAUGUAAGGCAAGAGAGCUUGCAGAAACAAUUAAGCUUCAAGAUGCAGAGGCGACUCUCGAUAAUGGGUGUUCUUGUUUGAAGCCUGUUAGGAAUGCGGACGAUACACCAAAUAACACAAGGAAGGCAGCUUUUCGUGAUCAUUCCAGUGACAACUUUUUAUACUGUCCUAGGGCUGUAGAUCUACAUCAUGAAGAUUUAAGACAUUUUCAAUGGCACUGGAGCAAAGGGGAGCCUGUAAUUGUCAGCAAUGUACUUGAAUGCACAUCUGGUUUAAGCUGGGAACCCCUUGUCAUGUGGCGUGCAUUCCGUCAAAUAAGCAAUACCAAGCACAAUGUACUUUUGGAUGUGAAGGCUAUUGAUUGCUUAGAUUGGUGUGAGGGAGAUAUUAAUGUGCACCAAUUCUUUACUGGUUACACAAAUGGUCGAAUGGAUUGGCUUAAGUGGCCUCAGGUAUUGAAAUUGAAAGAUUGGCCUCCUUCGAAUUUAUUUGAGGAAAGUUUGCCUCGUCAUUGUGCCGAGUUCAUAUCUUCAUUGCCGUUUAAAGAAUAUACAGAUCCUUUCAAAGGCGCUCUUAACCUUGCUGUGAAGCUGCCUGAAUAUAUUCUAAAGCCAGACAUGGGGCCAAAAACAUAUAUUGCUUAUGGAUUUGCUCAGGAGCUUGGGCGGGGUGAUUCCGUGACUAAGCUCCAUUGUGAUAUGUCUGAUGCUGUAAAUGUCUUGACUCAUAUUGCUCAAGUAGAGUUGAAACCCGAGGCCAUUGCUGCCAUUAAGAAACUGACAAGAAAGCACCUUGAGCAAGACAAGAGGGAGCUACAUUGCGAUAAUCUGGAUGGAGAUACUGUUGACUUGUUUGAUAAUUUGUCUUCUUCCAAAAAUGCUUCAGACGAGCAAAAUAGUGUUCGAGUCCUGCAAAAUGAGAGUGGAAUGUGUGAUGGGAAGGUGGUUGAUCCUGUUCAUCAACAUCCUGACACUGAUGAUGAUGUCCUGCAUUCUGGGUCAGAGCUCAAAGAGGUUAAUAAAGUGAACGUCAAACAAGAAAAUUGUUCGUUGGUUGGGGGGGAUUCUUCGGAUGGUGCUUUGUGGGAUAUCUUUCGGAGAGAGGAUGUACCUAAAUUGCAAGAAUAUCUGAAGAAGCAUUUUAGAGAGUUCAGGCAUGUCCAUUGCUCCCCUUUAAAGCAGUUCUGGUUCUGCACCUUCCAGAGUGCAGAAAAAUGCAUUAGGAAGCAGAACGGAUAUAGCAUGGAAACAUGGUUUAUCUAUUGAUGGAGGAACCAAAAAAAUAAAAUACAAUUUUUGUGGAAAAACAUUUAUUGGAGGAGUGUACAGGUUGAAACACCAUUUGGCUGGUACACAGCUCAACGUUGUUGCAUGUGAUGUUGUACCUGAUGAUGUGAAGAAAACACAUGUUUGAACUUGUAAAAUCCUUGAAAGAUAAAUCAUUCAAGAAAACAGAAGAGAAUGAUACAAAUAAUGUAAAAGGAAAAAAGUCAUUAGAAGAGGAUGAGAAUGCUACCCCUGCAAAACUUUUCAAGAGAAAUGUAGUAAGUACUCAAGUCAUCAUCAACAACAUUUUUAAGAAAAAUUUGAAAGAAGAAGCGUGUCUAGAAAUAGCUUCGUUCUUCUACAAUAAUGCCAUAGCCUUUAAUGUGGCAAAGAGUGAUGAAUUUACAAGGAUGUCUGAGAUGGUUUCAAGACAUGGCUUUGGUUUUAAGCCACCUUCCUAUCAUCAAAUCUGAACAAAGUACUUGAAACAAAAGGCGGAGGAGAUAACUAAGGUCAUUGAAGAACACACACUUACUUGGAAGAAGACAAUUUGUACUAUUAUGAGUGAUGGGUGGAUGGGCAAAAGAAGGAUGACACUUUUGAAUUUCUAAGUUAACAACCCUAAAGAUAUUGUUUUUUUAAAGUCAAUAGAUGUUUCUCAUAUGAUAAAAAUUGCUGAUAAAAUAUAUCGGAUGAUUGAUUAAGUAGUAGAAAUUGUAGAAGAAAAUGUCGUGCAAAUUGUGAUUGACAAUGCAACAAAUUACAAAGUUGCUGGUGCAAUGUUAAUGUUUAAAAGGAAGAGGCUCUAUUGGACAUCGUUUGCAUUACAAUGUAUUGAUCUCAUGAAGAACAAAGGAUCAUUGGUAAGAAUGUUCACAUCUAAUGAAUGGACAUCAAGUCAAUUUGCAAAAACUAGUGAAAGGCAGAAUUUUGAAGAAGUGAUUAUGGAUAAAGAGUUUUGGAAAAAGAUUGCAAUUUGCUUAAAAGGUGCUUAUCCACUAAUCAAAGUGCUUCGUUUAGUGGAUUCAGAUGAGAAACUAGCAAUGGGGUUUAUUUAUGAGGCAAUGGACCAAGCUAGGUAGAGAAUUCAAGCUGCUUUCAAUGGUGUUCAAAGAAGAUUCAAGCCUCUAUGAGAUAUCAUUGAUGAAAGGUGGGAUAAACCACUCCAUUGGCCUCUACAUGCGACAUGCUACUCUACCUUAACCCUCAACUACAUUACAACCUUGGAUUUAAAGCUGAUUAUGAAGUAAAACUUGGGUUAUAUGAUUGCUUACAAAAGAUAGUGGGAGAUGUUGAAUUUUUUUUGCAAGAUUGAUGCUCAACUGGAAGAUUUCAAGACACAAACAAAGUUUUUUGGUAGUCCGAUAGCAAAUGCUGCACUUAAAACCAAACCUCUAUCACAAUGGUGGGAAUCAUAUGGGGAUGAGCGUUUAGAACUUCAAACUUUUGCAAUUCGUGUGUUAAGCUUAACUUGCAGUUUAUCCGGAUGUGAACGAAAUUGGAGUGCUUUUGAGAUGGUCCACACAAAGAGGAGAAACCGUUUGAAAGAAAAGACAAUAAAUGAUGUUGUAUUUGUGAUGGCAAAUUCAAAAUUAGUUAAGAAGAAGCAAACUAGAAAUGUGGUAGAACAUAACCUUGAUGAUCUUGAAUCUGAUGAUGAAUGGAUUGUAGAUAACAAUGAAUGUUCAACUAAGAAUGACAUUUUAGAUUUCACAAUAGAAAAUGAGGAUUUAGAAUUUGGCAAACAAAAUGAAGUAAGGAAUGGAGUUGAAGAUCCUGCCCCUCAAGAUGAUAUGGAGAUUCACAACCUUGAUGAUGAGUUUGAUGGAGAAGGAUAUGAAGAUUGUAUGGAAGAUGUUGGUUUUGAUCACAAUGCCUUGGAUGUAUUGUUAAAUUUAAGUUUUAGAUGUUGUUAGAUGAUGAUGAUAGGUUUUGUUUUUUUGUUUGAGACAAUGGUAAUAGCCUUUUGUGUUUCAGCUUGUGACUUUUUAUUAAACCAAUGAAAUUUUUUAUGUUAA
Cicer arietinum (chickpea) is the source of this 5458-nucleotide non-coding RNA. Lineage: Eukaryota; Viridiplantae; Streptophyta; Magnoliopsida; Fabales; Fabaceae. The record is from RefSeq and is a predicted model, not a curated record.